GGGCGGUUAGCUCAGCUGGGAGAGCGUCUGGUUUACACCCAGAAGGUCGGGGGAUCGUACCCCUCACCGCCCA
This 73-nucleotide transfer RNA is filed under the name Spirochaetaceae bacterium. RNAcentral describes it as "tRNA-Val". It matches the Rfam family "tRNA". Rfam says of the family: Transfer RNA (tRNA) molecules are approximately 80 nucleotides in length. Their secondary structure includes four short double-helical elements and three loops (D, anti-codon, and T loops). Further hydrogen bonds mediate the characteristic L-shaped molecular structure. tRNAs have two regions of fundamental functional importance: the anti-codon, which is responsible for specific mRNA codon recognition, and the 3' end, to which the tRNAs corresponding amino acid is attached (by aminoacyl-tRNA synthetases). tRNAs cope with the degeneracy of the genetic code in two manners: having more than one tRNA (with a specific anti-codon) for a particular amino acid; and 'wobble' base-pairing, i.e. permitting non-standard base-pairing at the 3rd anti-codon position. Lineage: Bacteria; Pseudomonadati; Spirochaetota; Spirochaetia; Spirochaetales; Spirochaetaceae. The record is from RNAcentral.